RNAcentral lists this ribosomal RNA (460 nucleotides) under uncultured bacterium. RNAcentral's name for it is "partial 16S ribosomal RNA". It matches the Rfam family "Bacterial small subunit ribosomal RNA", at positions 338 to 795 of the family's 1533-position model. The record is from RNAcentral.
CCUACGGGUGGCAGCAGUGAGGAAUAUUGGUCAAUGGGCGCGAGCCUGAACCAGCCAAGUCGCGUGAAGGAUGACUGCCCUACGGUUUGUAAACUUCUUUUAUGAAGGGAUAAAGUGAGGCACGUGUGCCUUUGUGUGUGUACUUUAUGAAUAAGGAGCGGCUAACUCCGGGCCAGCACCCGCGGUAAUACGGAGGGUCCGAGCGUUAUCCGGAUUUAUUGGGUUUAAAGGGAGCGUAGAGAGGUUUUUAAGUGAGUUGUGAAAGUUGGCGGCUACACCGUCAAAUUGCAAUUGAUACUGGCAGUCUUGAGUACAGUUGAGGUAGGCGGAAUUCGUGGUGUAGCGGUGAAAUGCUUAGAUAUCACGCAGAACCCCGAUUGCGAAGGCAGCUUACUAAACCGCAACUGACAUUGAGGCUCGAAAGCGUGGGUAUCAAACAGGAUUAGAUACCCGUGUAGUC